UCAGGUAGGACUACCCGCUGAACUUAAGCAUAUCAAUAAGCGGAGGAAAAGAAACUAACAAGGAUUCCCCUAGUAACUGCGAGUGAAGCGGGAAAAGCUCAAAUUUAAAAUCUGGUGGUCUUCGGCCAUCCGAGUUGUAAUCUAGAGAAGCGUUACCCGCGUCGGACCGUGUACAAGUCUCCUGGAAUGGAGCAUCAUAGAGGGUGAGAAUCCCGUCUUUGACACGGACUACCGAGGCUUUGUGGUACGCUCUCAAAGAGUCGAGUUGUUUGGGAAUGCAGCUCAAAAUGGGUGGUAAAUUCCAUCUAAAGCUAAAUAUUGGCGAGAGACCGAUAGCGAACAAGUACCGUGAGGGAAAGAUGAAAAGAACUUUGGAAAGAGAGUUAAACAGUACGUGAAAUUGCUGAAAGGGAAACGCUUGAAGUCAGUCGCGUUGGCCGGAAAUCAGCCUUGCUUUUGCUGGGUGUAUUUUCUGGUUGACGGGCCAGCAUCAGUUUUGACCGGUGGAAAAAGUCUAGAGGAAUGUGGCAUCUUCGGAUGUGUUAUAGCCUUUGGUCGUAUACAUCGGUUGGGACUGAGGAACUCAGCACGCCGCAAGGCCGGGUCUUUGACCACGUACGUGCUUAGGAUGCUGGCAUAAUGGCUUUAAUCGACCCGU
Molecule: ribosomal RNA, 658 nt
Filed under: Psathyrella piluliformis
Lineage: Eukaryota; Fungi; Basidiomycota; Agaricomycetes; Agaricales; Psathyrellaceae
Description: partial large subunit ribosomal RNA
Rfam family: Eukaryotic large subunit ribosomal RNA
Source: RNAcentral